AUUGAACGCUGGCGGCAUGCCUUACACAUGCAAGUCGAACGGCAGCACGGGAGCAAUCCUGGUGGCGAGUGGCGAACGGGUGAGUAAUAUAUCGGAACGUGCCCGGUCGUGGGGGAUAACGUAGCGAAAGCUACGCUAAUACCGCAUACGAUCUACGGAUGAAAGCGGGGGAUCUUCGGACCUCGCGCCAUUAGAUGAGCCUAGGUCGGAUUAGCUAGUUGGUGAGGUAAUGGCUCACCAAGGCGACGAUCCGUAACUGGUCUGAGAGGACGACCAGCCACACUGGGACUGAGACACGGCCCAGACUCCUACGGGAGGCAGCAGUGGGGAAUUUUGGACAAUGGGCGCAAGCCUGAUCCAGCAAUGCCGCGUGCAGGAUGAAGGCC
This 386-nucleotide ribosomal RNA is filed under the name uncultured bacterium. RNAcentral describes it as "bacterial SSU rRNA". It matches the Rfam family "Bacterial small subunit ribosomal RNA", at positions 30 to 416 of the family's 1533-position model. The record is from RNAcentral.